CCUGUCCAGCAGCCGAGGAGUCGCCAGCCCCCCCGGAGAGAUGCAGAGAACUGCCUUUGGAAGAGCAAAGUGUCCCUGCAGUGAGAGCAGACACCGAGCGUCAGGCAGAAGCCUUGCUGCAGGCAGCCCCGUCUCUGCUCGGUGUCCUCCAAGCAGCUGGGGCAGAUGUGGGGCUGGAGUCUGAAACGGGAGAGGCACCUCCAGCUUUGCCUCCAAGCAGCCCUGAGAGCGCGGCAGACUCCCUGGUGCGCCCAGAAGAGCUGGCGAGCCUUGCGGAGGAACGAAGGUUUGCAGGCUCUCGCCAGGACAAGGAGAAAAAGAGAAGCCGGAAGAGAAGGCAGGCGUGGG
Long non-coding RNA from Gymnogyps californianus (California condor), 348 nucleotides. RefSeq lists it as uncharacterized. The record is from RefSeq and is a predicted model, not a curated record. The transcript has 4 exons. NCBI's taxonomy places the organism in Eukaryota, Metazoa, Chordata, Aves, Accipitriformes, Cathartidae.